UGCAAGUCGAACGUGAAACCCGAUGCUUGCAUUGGGGAGUAAAGUGGCGAACGGGUGAGUAACACGUUGGUGACCUGCCCCGAGGUGGGGGACAACUGUGGGAAACCACAGCUAAUACCCCAGAUGUUGAGGAGUCUAGACGACCUUAACUAAAGUUCCGACGCCUCGGGAGGGGCCUGCGGGCUAUCAGCUUGUUGGUGGGGUAACGGCCUACCAAGGCUCAGACGGCUAGGGGGCGUGAGAGCGCGACCCCCCACAAUGGAACUGAGACACGGUCCAUACUCCUACGGGAGGCAGCAGUGAGGAAUAUUGCGCAAUGGGGGAAACCCUGACGCAGCAACGCCGCGUGGAUGAUGAAGGCCUUCGGGUUGUAAAAUCCUUUUCUGAGGGACGAUAAUGACGGUACCUCAGGAAUAAGUCCCGGCUAACUACGUGCCGGCAGCCGCGGUAAAACGUAGGGGGCGAGCGUUAUCCGGAUUUAUUGGACGUAAAGCGCGCGUAGGCGGCACUGUAAGUUGGGCGUGAAAGCUCUCGGCUUAACUGAGAGAGGUCGUUCAAAACUACAGUGAUUGAGGUUGGAAGAGGAGAGUGGAAUUUCAGGUGUAGUGGUGGAAUGCGUAGAUAUCUGAAGGAACACCAGUGGCGAAAGCGACUCUCUGGUCCACACCUGACGCUGAGGUGCGAAAGCGUGGGUAGCGAACGGGAUUAGAUACCCCGGUAGUCCACGCCGUAAACGAUGGAUACUAGGUGUAGGAGGUUAUUUACCCCUUCUGUGCCAAAGCAAACGCGUUAAGUAUCCCGCCUGGGGACUACGACCGCAAGGUUAAAACUCAAAGGAAUUGACGGGGGCCCGCACAAGCAGCGGAGCGUGUGGUUUAAUUCGAUAUACGCGAAGAACCUUACCUGGGCUUGACAUGUUGGUAGUAGUGAAGCGAAAGCGGAACGACCCUUCGGGGAGCCAUCACAGGUGCUGCAUGGCUGUCGUCAGCUCGUGUCGUGAGAUGUUGGGUUAAGUCCCGCAACGAGCGCAACCCUCGUCGUUAGUUACAAGUGUCUAACGAGACUGCCGGUUUCAAACCGGAGGAAGGUGGGGAUGACGUCAAGUCAGCAUGGUCUUUAUGUCCAGGGCUACACACACGCUACAAUGGGCGGUACAAUAGGUUGCCACACCGCGAGGUGGAGCUAAUCCUCAAAGCCGUCCUCAGUUCGGAUAGCAGUCUGCAACUCGACUGCUUGAAGGUGGAGUUGCUAGUAACCGCGCGUCAGCAUAGUGCGGUGAAUGC
This 1283-nucleotide ribosomal RNA is filed under the name metagenome. Its description in RNAcentral is "bacterial SSU rRNA". It matches the Rfam family "Bacterial small subunit ribosomal RNA", at positions 56 to 1369 of the family's 1533-position model. The record is from RNAcentral.